Long non-coding RNA from Uranotaenia lowii, 2027 nucleotides. RefSeq lists it as uncharacterized. The record is from RefSeq and is a predicted model, not a curated record. The transcript is spliced from 3 exons. NCBI's taxonomy places the organism in Eukaryota, Metazoa, Arthropoda, Insecta, Diptera, Culicidae.
GUUGACACCAAAUGUUUUGUUUACGUUUUUCGGUUCUCGGAUCUUUUAGAUAAAUUCGUCGCAAGAGGCAAACUGGCUCGCGGUUACGCAUUAAUCUCGCGCUGCACUUUCGGUCGUCAAACCAACGAUAUCGCGAUGGUGGCCAAGUGUCUUGCCGGCACCUUCAAUCCACCGGCGGGAAAUAAAUACGCAAACUGCGAGCAUCACUGGACCAACAACUAUCAAGACGGAGCAAGGAUCCGAUGAAACCGCGGCUCCACAAAAUAACCAGGCCUCCACAACUAACCCCCGUCACCAAACUUGAAAAUCCGGAGAAGAAAUCUAUCACCGAGUGACUGAAACCAUGCGACCGCUCCGGAGGAGUUUCAGGCUUUAUGCUCCACUUUUUGCAGAAUGUUUCCUUUCACUACAAGGUUGGUCUUUGAAAUUUAAUAUGAAAUUGUGAUUAAAUUUGUUUUUGGAACCAUGCUCUAAAAAUGCUCGUAACCGGACGAGACACUGAGCAUCCAAGCAUCCAAGAAAAAGUUGUCUGUAGAUUGCAAUUUAGAAGAAAGCCCCAGUCACUGGCUGCCGGUUGGAGGUUCAAGGAUCGACACAAAGGCAAUUCCACGUCCCCCAGCUUCGUGAUGAACCUUGGCUGACUUCCAAACGAAAAACAUCGAAAGAACUUAACUGCAGGGGUGCCAGGUGAUUUUGUUAAAAAUCAGGAUACCGCGUAGCCAAAAAUCAGGAUUAUUCAGGACACCGCUUGAUUCAUAUAUGAAUCUAUAGAAAAGUAAGCAGCUCUGCAUAGAUUUCAUAAAUAUAGGCGCAAUACAGAUGCUGUAAAUGCCUUGAUUUAUGAAACAGUACGCAGCUUCUUAGCUGGUCUAAAACUCAUAUUGAAAAACACCAUUUCAAUAUCAUCUGAACUGAAGAUUACCAUCUGUUAAAUGGGUCUAACUAUUUUAUAACAGAUUUAUUCGAUUUUCUCAUAGUUAAUCUACAAAUUUGAUUACAUUUGAAAGGUUUUCAUGAAAAUCAGGACAAUUCAGGACAUUUUUGGGACCAAUUUUCAAAAAUCAGGACAACUCGAGAGUUUUUGGAAAAUCAGGACGUUCCCUCGAAAAUCAGGACAAAUCCUGAUAAAUCAGGACACCUGGCACCUCUGCUUAACUGCCCUGUUACCUCGAUUCUAACCCAGUUCGACUUGAGAGACGAGUGUGGACUACAACUGCUAUGGAUUUGGUGAGGCUCCUUCAGCUGUGUACUCGGAGUUCUACUAAGGAUACUGCUUCGGAUCGCAGAUGCUGUUGGCGAGUGGUUGCAUGAUUACGAUAUAUACGGCUGUGGAUACAGCUGAACAUAUGACGCAGGCAAUCAACCUCUCUUGUUGACCAAAAGAAGUACAUGCUUGUCAACUUCAAAAACUUAUGGCAGAUCAAAAACAGCCAACUUCCGAUGGUAGCCCUCAUUAGUAAGUAGACACAACCUUUAAUAGAACAUAGGGAGACACAUCAACUAGCUCAAUUUGUUCUGGUGAAUUCCAUUUUGUAAUUUUUAUUAUUAAUAAUUGUUCGAAUUCGUAUCCGACUUUUUAUUUCAAUUAGGUAUAACGUUCUUUUUUUUAAUCGAAAAUAAAGGCCUACAUUAGGUAUACCUAUUACGUGAAGCUUUCAGUGCUAAGCCAUUCGGUUAUUUUUUGUUAGCUUGCUCUUGACGACCAACUAUUCCUUGAAACAAUCCUUACUGCACCAAAAGAUUGUGCCGCACAAAUGCAAUCGCUUAAAUUUUCUUCUCCUCAGAAAGUGCUUCUGUAAAGCGAGUAAAGCUGUCGGAUCGAUUGAAAUGAGUCAAAUAAUUAUUGAAAGCUUGUAAAUGUAACCAUGUAAAUAAAAUAAAAUUAAACAACCAAAUGUGGCCUCAAAAUGCCCCAGCUCGUUGUUCAAAUUAAGUUGAAAAUUAUAACCUCAAUUGUUUCUCAAAACAAUAUUUUCAAUAAUAAUGUGAUCUCUGGAAAAACCCAUUUUAGAAAUAAAAGGAUAUGC